This 26-nucleotide small RNA is filed under the name Arabidopsis thaliana (thale cress). Its description in RNAcentral is "ATSL027100". Lineage: Eukaryota; Viridiplantae; Streptophyta; Magnoliopsida; Brassicales; Brassicaceae. The record is from RNAcentral.
AGACUUGAAAAAAAAAAGAUAAAAAC